Triticum aestivum (bread wheat) is the source of this 539-nucleotide long non-coding RNA. RefSeq lists it as uncharacterized. NCBI's taxonomy places the organism in Eukaryota, Viridiplantae, Streptophyta, Magnoliopsida, Poales, Poaceae. The record is from RefSeq and is a predicted model, not a curated record. The transcript is spliced from 3 exons.
AACAAACACCAUCACACCACGGGGGCUUUGCGCAGGAGGGGAAGAGCAAGCAAGAACAAGCUUGUUGGAUGAGAUGAAACACAGAUCUAAGACCUACUCGCCUGCAGCUUCGCCGGAUGUAGCUUCUUUUUCUUCAAUGGGGGGCACGAAGAAGAUGCCCUUACUCAACACUGCAUACAAUGCCGGAGGAAUUUAGUACAUGCAAUGAUUCUGAAUCAUCUAUGUCGUCAACAAGGGGAGCACUGCGGUCGGGCUCAGUCAGCGACCCUUGCAUCGAGAGGAUCAAAAUCUACUGCCAUGAGGAAGAUCCAAGGGUCAGCUCGUUGGUGCAGGUGUUGCAACCGAUUGGCGGCGAUGUGAAAAUCAGCAUCGAGCAUCGCUGACCUAUGUUAAUCAAGACCUAGUUUUGUUUGGGGGACCUGCCACCUUUGGUCAGUGCUAAGUUAAUGUGUUGAGACGAGUGUUUUGGUAACGUCUACGUUAAGGAGAAAAGAGCCGCAGGUCAGGAAGCAGUAGCCAUGUAAGUUAUGGAUCAUGUU